UAAGCAAAGCAUUAAAGCACACGGCUCAACCGUGUAAAUGUGUUUUGAACUGACAAGCUAGAGUAUGGGAGAGGUCACUGGAAUUUCUUGUGUAGGAGUGAAAUCCGUAGAUAUAAGAAGGAACACCGAUGGCGUAGGCAGAUAACUGGCUCAUUCCUGACGCUCAGACACGAAAGCGUGGGUAGCAAACGGGAUUAGAUACCCCGGUAGUCCACGCCCUAAACGAUGGAUGCUA
This 235-nucleotide ribosomal RNA is filed under the name uncultured Candidatus Saccharibacteria bacterium. RNAcentral's name for it is "partial 16S ribosomal RNA". It matches the Rfam family "Bacterial small subunit ribosomal RNA", at positions 584 to 818 of the family's 1533-position model. The record is from RNAcentral. Lineage: Bacteria; Candidatus Saccharimonadota.